CUCCCUUUUGCACCCAGCUCUUGCCCUGCAAGUGUGACCUCUGUGGGCUUCCUUAUCUUAGUACCUGUGCCCUUUGGCUCUCAGCUGGGGUUAGCAGGUAAAAAGCCUGGCAGAAGACUGGAGGGAUCAAGCCCAGGCCUGAGGCAAGAAGCACUACACCACUGAGUGACAUCCCCAAUUCAAUGAAUGCCUGCUUAGAAAGGAAUUCUUUUCCAAAAAGGAAUGAAAUUUUAAUACAUGCUACAACAUGGACAAAACUUGAAGACAUUAUGCCAAGUCAGAAACAAAAGAUGUGCCCAGAUAAAUUAUUCACCAUUGGUUCCAUGUCUGUAGAUUUUCCUUCUAUGUGACACUUAGACUGAUAUGCUACUAAGAUAUGCUUGAAUCUCCAUUUCCAGUUUAAGAACAGUCUGUUGUCUUCCCCAAUGCUUCUGUCCGGU
Chinchilla lanigera (long-tailed chinchilla) is the source of this 440-nucleotide long non-coding RNA. RefSeq lists it as uncharacterized. Lineage: Eukaryota; Metazoa; Chordata; Mammalia; Rodentia; Chinchillidae. The transcript has 3 exons. The record is from RefSeq and is a predicted model, not a curated record.